UCUCACUUUGCUUUUUCUUUGGUGCAGAUGCAGUGUGAUAUAUCCUUGUCUCAAAAGAAGAAAGAGAUCAGAGGCCUCUUGCACCAAAACUCAGGGACACGACCAAUGUUAAUAUUCCUCCCAAGGACACAGAAAGCAGGCCAUCACAAGCAGAUUCUUUUCCCUCCUCAACAAGAAGAAAGAAAGGUUAUUGUUUUCCUUUACCUCUUUUUGCAUGUAGUUGCUCAAUAAAAAUAAUAUCCUGGACAGUGAUCCCCUCCUAA
This is a long non-coding RNA of Musa acuminata AAA Group (dessert banana), 263 nucleotides long. RefSeq lists it as uncharacterized. The transcript is spliced from 2 exons. Lineage: Eukaryota; Viridiplantae; Streptophyta; Magnoliopsida; Zingiberales; Musaceae. The record is from RefSeq and is a predicted model, not a curated record.